RNAcentral lists this ribosomal RNA (453 nucleotides) under uncultured Desulfocapsa sp. RNAcentral describes it as "bacterial SSU rRNA". It matches the Rfam family "Bacterial small subunit ribosomal RNA", at positions 933 to 1382 of the family's 1533-position model. Lineage: Bacteria; Pseudomonadati; Thermodesulfobacteriota; Desulfobulbia; Desulfobulbales; Desulfocapsaceae. The record is from RNAcentral.
UGGAGUAUGUGGUUUAAUUCGACGCAACGCGCUAGAACCUUACCUGGUCUUGACAUCUCGGGAAUCAUUUGGAAACAUAUGAGUGCCUCGCAAGAGGAGCCCGAUGACAGGUGCUGCAUGGCUGUCGUCAGCUCGUGUCGUGAGAUGUUGGGUUAAGUCCCGCAACGAGCGCAACCCUUGUCUUUAGUUGCCAUCAUUAAGUUGGGCACUCUAAAGAGACUGCCGGUGUCAAACCGGAGGAAGUGGGGAUGACGUCAAGUCCUCAUGGCCUUUAUGACCAGGGCUACACACGUACUACAAUGGCAGGUACAAAGGGCAGCCACUUAGCGAUAAGGCGCGAAUCCCAUAAAACCUGUCUCAGUCCGGAUUGGAGUCUGCAACUCGCCUGCAUGAAGAUGGAGUUGCUAGUAACCGCAGGUCAGCUAUACUGCGGUGAAUACGUUCCCGGGGCUU